This 468-nucleotide ribosomal RNA is filed under the name uncultured bacterium. Its description in RNAcentral is "partial 16S ribosomal RNA". It matches the Rfam family "Bacterial small subunit ribosomal RNA", at positions 28 to 507 of the family's 1533-position model. The record is from RNAcentral.
GACGAACGCUGGCGGCGUGCUUAACACAUGCAAGUCGAACGGAAAGGCCCUGCUUUUGUGGGGUGCUCGAGUGGCGAACGGGUGAGUAACACGUGAGUAACCUGCCCUUGACUUUGUGAUAACUUCAGGAAACUGGGGCUAAUACCGGAUAGGAGCUCCUGCUGCAUGGUGGGGGUUGGAAAGUUUCGGCGGUUGGGGAUGGACUCGCGGCUUAUCCGCUUGUUGGUGGGGUAGUGGCUUACGAAGGCUUUGACGGGUAGCCGGCCUGAGAGGGUGGCCGGGGACAUUGGGACUGAGAUACGGCCCAGACUCCUACGGGAGGCAGCAGUGGGGAAUAUUGCACAAUGGGCGGAAGCCUGAUGCAGCAACGCCGCGUGCGGGAUGACGGCCUUCGGGUUGUAAACCGCUUUCGCCUGUGACGAAGCGUGAGUGACGGUAAUGGGUAAAGAAGCACCGGCUAACUACGUG